CAAUAGCAUAUAUUAAUGUUGUUGCAGUUAAAAAGCUCGUAGUUGGAUUUCUGCAGGAGUGUCAAUGUCCACCCACGUGUGAGUUGCAGCGACGCUCCUGCAUCCUUCGGUUACCUCCGCUCGGCAUUCACUUGCCGGCGGUUGGCUCCGAAUAUUUACCUUGAGAAAAUUAGAGUGUUUCAGGCAGGCUAAGCCGGAAUACAUUAGCAUGGAAUAAUAGAAUAGGACUACGGUCUCGUUGUUGGUUUGAGGGACUGGAGUAAUGAUUAAUAGGGAUAGUUGGGGGCAUUAGUAUUUAAUUGUCAGAGGUGAAAUUCUCAGAUUAACUAAAGACUAACUUAUGCGAAAGCAUUUGCCAAGGAUGUUUUCAUUAAUCAAGAACGAAAGUUAGGGGAUCAAAGACGAUCAGAUACCAU
RNAcentral lists this ribosomal RNA (416 nucleotides) under uncultured eukaryote. Its description in RNAcentral is "SSU rRNA". It matches the Rfam family "Eukaryotic small subunit ribosomal RNA", at positions 592 to 1018 of the family's 1831-position model. The record is from RNAcentral.